Long non-coding RNA from Lolium rigidum, 550 nucleotides. RefSeq lists it as uncharacterized. The transcript has 3 exons. The record is from RefSeq and is a predicted model, not a curated record. NCBI's taxonomy places the organism in Eukaryota, Viridiplantae, Streptophyta, Magnoliopsida, Poales, Poaceae.
GUCCAGGUGAGGUGCACCUGGGGAAGGUGAACUUCCGCCGCCUUAUCCUCAGAGCCCGAGGCCUAUCCCUCUCCCUCCGCAUCGCUAUCUCCCGAGAAACCACCGCGAGUACAUCGGCCGCCGCCGCUCAAUCCGCCUUGGUCGCUCGUCCCCUGGGCCUAUAUAAGAGACCCCGAGACCUCCUUGACCUCCACAACACCACGCCCCACUCCCAUCUCCCCUCGGGCUCCCGGUAGCCCGAAUUUUGUCGAGGAGCCGCCGCCGUUUUCUCCGACGCCGGCGACGAUUUCCGUCGCGGUAAAGGAGCUCGGAAGCAUCCGCGGCAACGGGAGACGAACACGCCGGCGCCGCGGACAUUGCCCUCGUCGCUUUCCAACCUCGCCGGAACCAGCUGACCACCGGUGGAGCUCCGUCACGUCUACAAGCAUCGCCUCCAAGCCUCGCCCAAACCAUCCGACGUCUGCAGCUCCGUUUCCGUCCACGACCGGAGUUGCAAAAUCCCUUGCCGGACACACAUCGUGAGCACAUCCACAUUGUCCGGACUGCGAGG